CACACAGUGCUAGAGGGCAAGAUUAGUAAGUUUACUGAUGAUAGAAAAGUGGGUGAUUUUUAAGAUAGUGAAGAUAGUUAUGAAAGAUUGCAGCAGGAUAUUGAUCGAUUGGUCAGGUGGGCUGAGGAAUGGUUGAUGGAAUUGAAUCCAGAGAAA
Long non-coding RNA from Amblyraja radiata (thorny skate), 156 nucleotides. RefSeq lists it as uncharacterized. NCBI's taxonomy places the organism in Eukaryota, Metazoa, Chordata, Chondrichthyes, Rajiformes, Rajidae. The record is from RefSeq and is a predicted model, not a curated record. The transcript is spliced from 3 exons.